UCCGAGUUGACCCCGGCAGUCUCCCAUGAGUCCCCGGCAUAACCCGCUGGCAACAUGGAACGAGGGUUGCGCUCGUUGCGGGACUUAACCCAACAUCUCACGACACGAGCUGACGACAGCCAUGCACCACCUGCACACCAGCCACAAGGGAACGCCUAUCUCUAGACGCGUCUAGUGCAUGUCAAACCCAGGUAAGGUGGGGAUGACGUGCCAAGGUUGGUU
This 222-nucleotide unclassified non-coding RNA is filed under the name uncultured Actinomycetes bacterium. RNAcentral describes it as "uncultured actinobacterium contains 16S-23S intergenic spacer region". Lineage: Bacteria; Bacillati; Actinomycetota; Actinomycetes. The record is from RNAcentral.